Molecule: ribosomal RNA, 373 nt
Filed under: uncultured organism
Description: partial 16S ribosomal RNA
Rfam family: Bacterial small subunit ribosomal RNA
Source: RNAcentral
GUAGGUGGCAAGCGUUGUCCGGAAUUAUUGGGCGUAAAGCGCGCGCAGGCGGUCCUUUAAGUCUGAUGUGAAAGCCCACGGCUCAACCGUGGAGGGUCAUUGGAAACUGGGGGACUUGAGUACAGAAGAGGAAAGCGGAAUUCCAAGUGUAGCGGUGAAAUGCGUAGAGAUUUGGAGGAACACCAGUGGCGAAGGCGGCUUUCUGGUCUGUAACUGACGCUGAGGCGCGAAAGCGUGGGGAGCAUACAGGGAUUAGAUACCCUGGUAGUCCACGCCGUAAACGAUGAGUGCUAAGUGUUAGGGGGUUUCCCGCCCCUUAGUGCUGCAGCUAACGCAUUAAGCACUCCGCCUGGGGAGUACGGCCGCAAGGCUG